CUGGUUGAUCCUGCCAGUAGUCAUAUGCGUGUCUCAAAGAUUAAGCCAUGCAUGUCUAAGUUCAAGCGAAAAUAAAGUGAAACCGCGAAUGGCUCAUUACAUCAGUUAUGGUUCCUUAGAUCGCACUUACUACUUGGAUAACUGUGGUAAUUCUAGAGCUAAUACAUGCACUGAGCUCCAACCCUCGUGGAAGGAGCGCUUUUAUUAGAUCAAAGCCAAUCGGGCCUUCGGGUCCGUACCGUUGGUGACUCUGAAUAACUUUGCUGAUCGCAUGGUCUCGUACCGGCGACGUAUCUUUCAAGUGUCUGCCUUAUCAACUGUCGAUGGUAGGUUAUGCGCCUACCAUGGUUGUAACGGGUAACGGGGAAUCAGGGUUCGAUUCCGGAGAGGGAGCCUGAGAAACGGCUACCACAUCCAAGGAAGGCAGCAGGCGCGCAAAUUACCCACUCCCGGCACGGGGAGGUAGUGACGAAAAAUAACGAUACGGAACUCACAUGAGGCUCCGUAAUCGGAAUGAGUACACUUUAAAUCCUUUAACGAGGAUCUAUUGGAGGGCAAGUCUGGUGCCAGCAGCCGCGGUAAUUCCAGCUCCAAUAGCGUAUAUUAAAGUUGUUGCGGUUAAAAAGCUCGUAGUUGGAUCUCGGUUUCGGGCGGGUGGUGCGCCUUGCGGUGUUUACUGUCUGCCCGGACGAUUUUGUUGGUUCGUUCGUGGUUCUCUUAACCGAGUGCCACGGGUGGCCAGCACGUUUACUUUGAAAAAAUUGGAGUGCUCAAAGCAGGCGCUACAGCCUGAACAUUAGUGCGUGGAAUAAUGGAAUAGGACCUCGGUUCUAUUUCGUUGGCUUUCGGAGUCGAGGUAAUGAUUAAUAGGAACAGACGGGGGCAUUCGUACUGCGACGUUAGAGGUGAAAUUCUUGGAUCGUCGCAAGACGAACUACUGCGAAAGCAUUUGCCAAGAAUGUUUUCAUUAAUCAAGAACGAAAGUUAGAGGUUCGAAGGCGAUCAGAUACCGCCCUAGUUCUAACCAUAAACGAUGCCGACCGGCGAUCCGCCGUCGUUAAUUGAAUGACUCGGCGGGCAGCCUCCGGGAAACCAGAGUGUUUGGGUUCCGGGGGAAGUAUGGUUGCAAAGCUGAAACUUAAAGGAAUUGACGGAAGGGCACCACCAGGAGUGGAGCCUGCGGCUUAAUUUGACUCAACACGGGAAAUCUCACCAGGCCCGGACACCGGAAGGAUUGACAGAUUGAGAGCUCUUUCUUGAUUCGGUGGGUGGUGGUGCAUGGCCGUUCUUAGUUGGUGGAGCGAUUUGUCUGGUUAAUUCCGAUAACGAACGAGACUCUGGCCUACUAACUAGAUGUAGGAUCCCUUUGUGGGUCCGUCACUGCUUCUUAGAGGGACGGGCGGCUUUUAGCCGCACGAGAAUGAGCAAUAACAGGUCUGUGAUGCCCUUAGAUGUUCUGGGCUGCACGCGCGCUACACUGAAGGAAUCAGCGUGUGUUCCCUACCCGAAAGGGUUGGGAAACCCGUUGAACCUCCUUCGUGAUGGGGAUUGGGGAUUGCAAUUAUUCCCCAUGAACGAGGAAUUCCCAGUAGGCGCGAGUCAUAAGCUUGCGUCGAUUACGUCCCUGCCCUUUGUACACACCGCCCGUCGCUACUACCGAUCGAGUGAUUUAGUGAGGACUUCGGACUGGUCUUCGUGGUGGCUCUCGAGUCAUGACGGAGUUCCGGAAAGAUGCCCAAACUUGAUCACUUAGAGGAAGUAAAAGU
This 1766-nucleotide ribosomal RNA is filed under the name Sminthuridae environmental sample. RNAcentral describes it as "SSU rRNA". It matches the Rfam family "Eukaryotic small subunit ribosomal RNA". The record is from RNAcentral. Lineage: Eukaryota; Metazoa; Arthropoda; Collembola; Symphypleona; Sminthuridae.